AAGACCCCAAUGCGUCGCGGAUGCGGCGUC
This 30-nucleotide ribosomal RNA is filed under the name Ziziphus mauritiana (Indian jujube). RNAcentral describes it as "partial 28S ribosomal RNA". The record is from RNAcentral. Lineage: Eukaryota; Viridiplantae; Streptophyta; Magnoliopsida; Rosales; Rhamnaceae.